UUCCUACGGGGGGCAGCAGUGGGGGAUAUUGCACAAUGGAGGAAACUCUGAUGCAGCGACGCCGCGUGAGGGAAGACGGUCUUCGGAUUGUAAACCUCUGUCUUUGGGGAAGAAAAUGACGGUACCCAAAGAGGAAGCUCCGGCUAACUACGUGCCAGCAGCCGCGGUAAUACGUAGGGAGCGAGCGUUAUCCGGAAUUAUUGGGUGUAAAGGGUGCGUAGACGGGAAAACAAGUUAGUUGUGAAAUCCCUCGGCUUAACUGAGGAACUGCAACUAAAACUAUUUUUCUUGAGUGCAGGAGAGGU
RNAcentral lists this ribosomal RNA (305 nucleotides) under uncultured bacterium. Its description in RNAcentral is "bacterial SSU rRNA". It matches the Rfam family "Bacterial small subunit ribosomal RNA", at positions 336 to 658 of the family's 1533-position model. The record is from RNAcentral.